Molecule: long non-coding RNA, 689 nt
Filed under: Marmota monax (woodchuck)
Lineage: Eukaryota; Metazoa; Chordata; Mammalia; Rodentia; Sciuridae
Source: RNAcentral
GGCUCAGUGGUUAGCUCCCCUGGGUUCAAUCCCCAGGACCAAGAAAAAAAAAACUGGGAGGAGCUUGCCACCUCCUAUUGUUCACUUGGUACCCUCCUGCCCCAGUGGACAGGAACUGGGCUGAGUUUCCUUGGAGGGCUCCUGAUCCCCAAGUGUUUCCCCCUGGUGUCCAGAGACCUGUCCGUGUGGUGUUCGGUUGGCAGCAGGAAGAAGCCCUGGUGGAAGCUCUUUGGUAGGUGGCCAAUGUUAUCUUCCUGGGAAUGAAGACGAGAGUGCUGGAAGCUGGCAGCCUUUGUGAGCAACUGAGGCAGGAUCUGUGGGCCACGUACUGAGGUCCUUUGUCACAUCAUGACUGGCCGCACUGAGGCCCCCUGUGCCUGGCCGCCUCUUACUACUGUGUCUGCCUGCCUGGCUGCCCAUGUGCUGGUGUCAUCAGCAAGUCCCUAGAGACCUGGUGUCUUAUCAUUGUUUUGUCCCUUAGUCUGUGGCUGGUGCUGACCUGCGCCUCAGCUCUGGAGAACAGACGCGCAGCUGCCCAGAGGAGGGGCCCAGCACCCACCCCCGGGUUGUUCUCUCCACAUCCCAAGACGCCAUGAAAAAUAGCUCAGGAACUUGAAUUUGGGUCAUUGUGACCGUUUCAGUGUUUGUCCUGAGAACUCACUUGUCCAAGGUCCCUUUUUUGAUUUAAA